UCAAUGACGACCAUCAGGCGAAUAAAAAAAAGAAAAGAAAAAGAACUCAUCGUUUCCUCAACUGUCUUUUGAUUUCAAAAAAAUUCUUCGUCUCCUCAACUCUGUCUUUUGAUCUCAACAACAACAACGAUAAAUAGCCCUAAUCUUUAACCUUGCGUCAAUCUCAAGUAGUUGUUUCGAGGAGGAUUAUUUUCAGAAUUUAGGGUUCCCUUUCUAAUCAACAGGUAAAUUGAAUUCAGACCUGUUCUCUUUCGAUCUCAACAGGUACACAAACGAUAACUCUUAACCAGGGUUUGGUUUUGGGAAGAGCAGCUGAGAAUGAGUCUAAAUCGGCAAGAAUGAGAAUGGGUUACUUGGAGAUGGGGGUUUGAGAGUUCUUGGAUGAUGAUAUGAGUUAGGUUGAGAUAGAUUGGCAACCAGAUGAAGAAAUCGAUCGAGAAAAAAUAUUCCAGUUGCAAAGCUGUUGUUGGUAUUGCUACCAGAGAAGCUACAGCAAUGGGGCAAUGGAUUCUGGUGUGUGUGCUCUGAGACUUGCAGGGACUGAAUUUGGGAUUGCAACUGUUGGUGAUGGCUGAGAAGAUACAUGUACCUAAAGGUCAUGAUUUGUGCAUCAUGGUAUUUGAACAAUGGCGCUUGACAAGAAGGCAACAAUAUAUGUUAGCAAUCACUAUAUAACGGAAUCUCCUUUCAUGCCAAAUGUAGAAGGUCUAGAAGAAGCCCAAUUUGAUGUGGAAUUAAUUCACUAAUAUUCUUUAUUCAGAUUUUUUAAAGGGGAAUAAUGGAUACAAGAACCUUCUUAAGAGUGCAUUGACAGGUGGUUGUAGUUGCUGAGAUCAGUCUGAAAAUAAAGGAAAAGGGCAUGAGUGUCUAUUCACGUGGCUUAGAAGAAGAAGCAGAUCAGGUGAAGCUAUCAGAUUCUUUGGUGAGAAUGAAUUCAACCAGAUGCACAUGCGGGACUCUUAUAUGUGGCUUCUGUAAAACUUGGUAAGUCAUUCUUGAUCUAGCCCGUGUAACGAACCCAUCAUCGUCACGUCAUCAUUUGUUUCUAGAGGUUUACCAUCUUUAUAUGGGUACUCAUAAUAUAUUUUAAAUUCAUUCUUAUGAAUGUUUUCUAGAUAAUCAAAUGAGUAAGUUAUCUUUCAUGAAUUCAGUUUCGACUUAUGUGACUUUUACUACUAAUUCCGUAUGAUGCAUCUCAUAAACCAUGUGUGACAAGAACAUGAUUCAUACAUCGUAAUUAUGAAGAUUAUGUUCUGUUUGUAGCUGCAGUAGGGGAAGGUAUCUGCGUCAACUUUUUAGAAAAUAUAGAAAUAUCCACAAGGCUAGAGAGGCUGCUCUACAUUUGGUUUGGAGAUAAACUAAUGUGCUUAUCAAGUGACAUUUUCAGCUAAUUCUUUAGCCUAUUUGUGGUGUAAAGUCGUCUACAUUUCGAACCUGCGUUUCCCCUUUGAAACUGUCCGUAACUUAAUUUUUGCUUUUGAUCUGUGUAUUGUUGUAUAAAUAGAAAAGAACUAUUGUUUUGUCGCAUAAAAAUAUUUAGUUAACAAUAUUAAAAACUCUUUA
Molecule: long non-coding RNA, 1563 nt
Organism: Papaver somniferum (opium poppy)
Lineage: Eukaryota; Viridiplantae; Streptophyta; Magnoliopsida; Ranunculales; Papaveraceae
Exons: 7
Source: RefSeq, a predicted model, not a curated record